This is a long non-coding RNA of Urocitellus parryii (Arctic ground squirrel), 875 nucleotides long. RefSeq lists it as uncharacterized. The record is from RefSeq and is a predicted model, not a curated record. Lineage: Eukaryota; Metazoa; Chordata; Mammalia; Rodentia; Sciuridae.
CAGCUGCUGCCUGUUUGCUGGUGGAGCAAACGCACGUCCAGUAGGUGCCCAGCAAACGCUUACUGAGUGACUGAGACGGGGAAGGGGCUCCCGCGGCUAGGGGCGGCCGCCCGGGCCCAGGCUGGGCGCCCACCUGUGGCCCUGCUCCCACCCGGGCCGAGCGGCGCGCUCAGGGGCGGCGGCCUUGUCCCCGAGGACGGCCCUGGCGCAGUCGGCCUCCCGCGGCACCGCGCGCUGCGGGCCGGGGCGCGACGCUGUUCCCCGCGGCGGCGAAGCGACCUCCGUCCGUUCCUCCAACAAGCGUUAGUCCUGCGUCUGCUCCGUGACGGGCGCCGGGGGAUCCGGCGGGGACAGUGCGCAGUGCCUGGCUGACAAGAUCCGAGCAAAAAACGGCCACCUUAAAAUGCCAUUUAGCCAAAUCCGACUUAUUUUGCAAGAAAAUAAAAAGGUUUAACCCCCUGGAAUGGACGGGAAGGGGCAGGGGAGACAAGUUACCUUAAAGAAGAGUUCCAGGGAAGACUUGGCAGAGCUCGUCCUCGUUAGUAUAGUGACCUUGGCAGUCUCGGUGACUGACCUGCUGCUUUAGACCCUGUUACAUGCAACUUCCUGAGAGCUUGGUCACAGGACUGCAAGAAAGACCAUAGUCCAGCUGUGCUGGAAAGCUGGUCCUGCAUCCUUGCAGGGAAUAGGCCAGAAAAAGGUCCUCGGUUUGUGAGAUGGACAACUGGACUUGCCGGGCUGACAUUUCUUGUCUUGCUCCAGCCCCAGCAUCUGACUUUGGAAGAUGCUUAUGAACUUGAGAUAUUUUCUCCCCCUAAAGCAGUCAGACUCUGUGACCUUAAAGCAUCACCGGUGUGCAGCUGCUGCACCCCACA